GACGGCCGCUGCAAACAUGUUGCGGCUGUUGUUGCGACGGUGAACUGCCCUGAAGAUGAUUCGUGCACUGGACUACCGCAGGCGUGGGGUCGACCUGGGUACAGGGCAGCGGACAGCGGCUUGCGGCGACCAUUUGAAGAGGUUUACCCGAGUGGUUUCAGGAGAGGUUGACACGUCUCACCAGCACGGAAUGCCAUAGGGUCCGCACAAGAGUAGCAGAUUUCGAGAAACUUGCCGCAAGCUUGAAAACUGCUCGGCCACUGAAAACGGCAGCCACUGCGUACGGCACGCAGAUGGAAAGCAGUGCAGUGAGAGAAUUUCAGAAGAAGUUUCCUGCAAUUGUAUAUCAGGCUGGGCUUCUGAUUCAUCCUGGACAGCAAUGGCUCUGCGCAAGCCCAGAUGGCGUAGUGCGACUGGACGACGGGCUGUACCUUCUGGAAGUGAAAUGCCCGUUUGGUCGGAAGGGACAGUCAAUUAUCGACCACACGAGUGCCACCAGCUACGUCCAGUAUCUGUACUACGAUGAUGGCAAGCUCUGCUUGAAGAAGUCUCAUCAGUAUUACACCCAGAUACAGAUAGGAAUGUAUGUCAUGAAUGUAGCAGAAACUUUCUUUUUUGUAUAUUCCGAGGCACAGUCCAUUAACGUGAUGGUUGAACGAGAUGAUGAAUUCCUCAGUGAACUGAUUCCCAAGCUAGAGACAUUCUACUUCACAUAUAUGUUACCACAGAUUGUGCAGAGGUGUAAAAACAAAAUUUAGCUGUAUCAGGCAUUUGUCUGUGCACACAAGUUACUCCUGUAUAUCCCUGAAUCUGUUUUCCUGAAUUUUCACAGACUGUUGUACAUAGUAGAAUGUGAAUAGACUUGUCGUCUGAUCAUGUAAAUAUACUGUUCCCUGCAUAAUUUGUUAGCGUCAACUGAAACUCCUUUCAAACUUCUUGAGUGCAGUCAUUAAUGAACACUGAUAACAAGAACUUUUACUUCACAACACCAGUACACAGACUGUACAACCUUCA
Long non-coding RNA from Ornithodoros turicata, 1014 nucleotides. RefSeq lists it as uncharacterized. The transcript has 4 exons. The record is from RefSeq and is a predicted model, not a curated record. Lineage: Eukaryota; Metazoa; Arthropoda; Arachnida; Ixodida; Argasidae.